Molecule: non-coding RNA, 131 nt
Organism: Loxodonta africana (African savanna elephant)
Lineage: Eukaryota; Metazoa; Chordata; Mammalia; Proboscidea; Elephantidae
Source: Rfam
UCCUCAGGCCUUGCUUCCCUCCUCCUUUCUCACUGUGGAGAAACAGGAAGGCUGACGAGGGACGCCUAAGGCAGUAUCAGAUCUCUACCUCUCCUGGGCCUGGGAAGAAGUGCAAGGAUCAAGGAUAAGCU